CCUACCCAGGGCCGCAGCACAUGGCCCAGGCACCUGGUUCUCCUGGCUUCCAUCGCAGGCAGCCGGGGCAAAGUGCUCAGAAGGGACGAACUGUGGGAAGGAGGUGGGUCAGCUCGGAGGAGGAAGAGGCAGGGGCACCACCAGGACAGAGGAGAGAAGAGUGGCUGGAAGGGGACCUGGUGUUCUGCACCCUGCUGUCACCUCUGUGCUCCUGGGAGCCUGCAAAAGAAGCCCGGCUUGGAGGAAGGGUGAAAAGCAAUGGAGAAGGGGGUGAUACAGAUGGAGCAAUGGAUGGACAGUUGGAUAGGUGGAUGGAUGGAUGAAUGGAUGGAUGGAUGAUGGAGGAUACAUCAACCCAUCAAUCAAUGGAUGAGUCAAUGGAGACUUCAUUUUACUCCUUGAAGGUAAAAAUUGCCUUGAGCAUAUUAAAUGUUUAAUUAUAUGUUAAAUGAAUAAACAAGAGGAUGUAAUGUUGUCUACAGCACAUCUGAUAGCAAAAAUAAUUGAGCAAAUGUCUUAAACAUUUUGGAGUUCUUUGAUCUAAUCAUUUUGCUGAUCAGAUCUGGCCUAGAAACAUAUCAGGAUACAGGGGUGACACAGGACACAGGUGUUCACUGUGGUUUUGCUUACAAUAAUAAAAGUUGGGGGGCAGCCCUCCAAAAGGGACAACAGAGGAUCUUGAUACAGCUACAUAGAAACAUUAUGACUGAAUAUGACAGGGAAAAGAUGUUUUUAAUUAUGUGAGAAAAUUCUCAGGAUGGAAGGAAAAUGCAAAAUCAAAUCAUUAGUAUAUGAAAAUCUGUAUGCAAUGUGAACUUACUAAUGUUUGCUUUUUUUUGAGUGUGUGGGAAAAUGACUUAGAAAAAAUGACGUCUGGGCAUUUCUAAGUGACAAAGAAAUGGCAUCCCUGCUUUACCAACAUCAAGCAAAAAAGAAGUGGAUUCUCUAAAACCUAAUGGUGGUGCCAGUUAUGUGACCGUGGCAAUCAGUUCCGAGGUAUUACAUCUCGAAGUUUCCCCUUUUCCAUCCUUAUAAACUCCUGUGUCCCUUGAGCAAAGUGGUACUGAGAGGCUCAGUGGGACGAUCUGUUUGUUCUUUGGAGCAGUUCUGUCACUCAGCUGCCGGGUUUACCGGGCAUCUGCUUUGGCAGGGUGAGCAGUGGGCUUCGAGGGAGCCUGAGCUCUCAGGACUGCCAACCACCCACCCAAGGGAGGGGUGAGAAGGGUGCCCGAGCCAGGCUUGGCAGUGCACAUCUGUCAGCUCGGCACUCUGGGAGGCUGAGGUAGGAGGAUGGCAAGUUCCAGUCUA
Molecule: non-coding RNA, 1308 nt
Organism: Heterocephalus glaber (naked mole-rat)
Lineage: Eukaryota; Metazoa; Chordata; Mammalia; Rodentia; Bathyergidae
Source: RefSeq, a predicted model, not a curated record